RNAcentral lists this ribosomal RNA (660 nucleotides) under Triticum aestivum (bread wheat). Its description in RNAcentral is "partial small subunit ribosomal RNA". Lineage: Eukaryota; Viridiplantae; Streptophyta; Magnoliopsida; Poales; Poaceae. The record is from RNAcentral.
AUGCCGUUCGGAUUGACAAAUGCUCUGGCGACAUUCCAGUGCCUGAUGAAUGCCAUCUUCGCCAAAUACACCCGUAAGUUUGUCAUCAUUUUCCUUGAUGACAUUCUCGUUUUCAGCGAGACCUUGGAGGAACAUAUCGAGCACCUGCGGCUCGUCCUCGACCUACUCCAUGAGCACCAGCUCUACGCCAAGAUGUCCAAGUGCUCGUUUGCGCAAGAUCACAUCGACUACUUGGGCCACGUCAUCUCUAAGCACGGCAUCGCGACCGAUGCAGAGAAGACGAACGCCAUGGCGCAGUGGCCGACCCCAACCAACGCCACUGAACUCCGCGGCUUUCUUGGACUCACCGGCUACUACCGCAAAUUCGUGCCACAUUAUGGAAUCAUCGCCAAGCCCCUCACGCGGCAGCUCACCAAGAAGGGCUUCGAGUGGCCCGAGUCGGCGCAGCGCGCGUUCGAUACGCUCAAGCAGGCGAUGGUGACCACGUCGGUGCUCGCCCUCCCCGACUUCGACAAGCCGUUCUCCAUCGAGACCGACGCGUGCGACACUGGCAUCGGCGCGGUCCUCGUCCAGGAGGGCCACCCAUCGCCUACUACAGCAAGGCCUUGGGCGUGGAGAACCAGAAGCUUUCCACCUACGAGAAGGAGUUCUUGGCGGUGA